GAUAAUAGAGUGUUAUCAUGAAAGAUGAAAAAAAUAUUUGGACAAGUACCCUAAGGCAAGUUACAAUAAACUGAUCUUCGGUCCUUUCCUUCACAUCGUAACAUGUUGAAAGAGAAGCAAAUACUUUAACAAGUCCCGUAGGGCAAGUUAUAAUUAACCAGUCUUCAGUUUUCUCUCUCUGAUCAUAAUA
Molecule: long non-coding RNA, 190 nt
Organism: Bradysia coprophila
Lineage: Eukaryota; Metazoa; Arthropoda; Insecta; Diptera; Sciaridae
Source: RefSeq, a predicted model, not a curated record